RNAcentral lists this ribosomal RNA (254 nucleotides) under uncultured prokaryote. RNAcentral describes it as "partial 16S ribosomal RNA". It matches the Rfam family "Bacterial small subunit ribosomal RNA", at positions 521 to 774 of the family's 1533-position model. The record is from RNAcentral.
UAAGACGAACCGAGCGAACGUUGUUCGGAAUCACUGGGCUUAAAGGGCGCGUAGGCGGGCUGUCAAGUCUGGGGUGAAAUCCCGCGGCUCAACCGUGGAACUGCCUUAGAUACUGACGGCCUCGAGGGAGGUAGGGGCGAGCGGAACUGUGAGUGGAGCGGUGAAAUGCGUUGAUAUUCACAGGAACUCCGGUGGCGAAGGCGGCUCGCUGGACCUCUUCUGACGCUGAGGCGCGAAAGCUAGGGGAGCGAACG